CAACGGCUAAAGACGUUGCUAAUGUCAUUGAUAAUUGAUAAUUUUAUUUUUUAAAAAAUUUAUAAUAAUUUUUUUAAAAUCUAUUUUAAUUAAUCACAAUCAAUUAUUGUUCCUAACACCUGUUAUAAUUAAAAUUCAAAGAUAAUACGAUAAUCAUAAAUAAAAAAUUAAUUAUAUUAUAUUAAAAAUAUAAUCAUAUAAUUUUACAAGCAGUAUAAAAAAAUACAAUACAUCAAAAUAAAAAGAAAUCAGUCA
RNAcentral lists this long non-coding RNA (255 nucleotides) under Elaeis guineensis (African oil palm). Its description in RNAcentral is "long non-coding RNA (EGUI_LNC015904)". Lineage: Eukaryota; Viridiplantae; Streptophyta; Magnoliopsida; Arecales; Arecaceae. The record is from RNAcentral.